CUCUCUACAUGUAAAAUCACAAGUUGCGAUUGCGUGCCAAUUGUGUAUGGGAAACUUCAGGAUGCAACAAUUACAACAGCGUCGAUGACAGAAGUGUUGAGGACCUGUUUUGUAAUUGUAACAUGACUCUCUCUCUCUCUCUCUUUCUCGUCUUUCUUCUUCUGCUGCGGUUUUAGUUUGGGGUGUGGGGUCCUAUUAAUGGAUGUCGAACGCAAAUUUGGGUUUUGGAUCUGGAUCGGGUAAACUCUCAGCCCUAUGAUUUCAGGUUUCCCUCUCUCUCUCAUCG
Molecule: long non-coding RNA, 286 nt
Filed under: Amborella trichopoda
Lineage: Eukaryota; Viridiplantae; Streptophyta; Magnoliopsida; Amborellales; Amborellaceae
Description: long non-coding RNA (ATRI_LNC004353)
Source: RNAcentral